Molecule: transfer RNA, 763 nt
Filed under: Rhizobium leguminosarum bv. viciae
Lineage: Bacteria; Pseudomonadati; Pseudomonadota; Alphaproteobacteria; Hyphomicrobiales; Rhizobiaceae
Description: partial contains 16S-23S ribosomal RNA intergenic spacer; may also contain 16S ribosomal RNA and 23S ribosomal RNA; IGS type 3
Rfam family: tRNA (bases 277-349)
Source: RNAcentral
CGAUGACUUCGGUCACGACGGUAUGGCGAGCUUCGCCGUCCACGUUUCUCUUUCUUCAAGAAGACAAAAAACCGCGUCGAUCCAGUUUAGGCUGGGCCGGUUCCCCGAAUGGGCCNGUAGCUCAGUUGGUUAGAGCACACGCUGAUAAGCGUGGGGUCGGAAGUUCAAGUCUUCCCGGGCCCACCAUUCGCAUAUGCGAAUGAGGGUUAGGGAUGAUGGAAUGUGGCUGAUGCGGAACGUUGCCGAACCUGGUUUAUACCGGGUGAUCGAGCUGGAGGGGCUGUAGCUCAGCUGGGAGAGCACCUGCUUUGCAAGCAGGGGGUCAGCGGUUCGAUCCCGCUCAGCUCCACCAAAUCGAUUGGUGUUGAAGCUGACGGCAUUUGUCUUUUGAAGAAAUAAAAGUUUUGCAUCGGCUUAUGGCUGAUGCGUGUUCUGCAUACAUUGUGAAGAGAAGAUUGAUCUGGAGGCUUCCAGGUGUUUUGGGUUCUGCCCAAGGCGUCCGAGCCCAGUUCCUGUGAACCCAUGGAUGGCCUAGCCGGCCGGAUGUGGUGGAGGGAUUGGAGGUAGGAAGGAAGCUUGUCGCUCUGAGCCGUUGUUGUUUGUGGUCUUUCGGGACUGCAUCUGACGGACGGCUUGAUUACCGUUGCCUGACCGCGCGGUAUCGGAUCAUAUCUCGAGAAGCUGGUCUUAAGACAGGCUGCAAGCGAGCUGCUCGGCGUAGCUCCAAUAAAGCAGACCUGUCGAACACGUUAAUGGCAUUGUU